AUUCCAGCUCCAAUAGCGUAUAUUAAAGUUGUUGCAGUUAAAAAGCUCGUAGUUGAACUUCGGAACCGGUCGAUUGGUCCGUCCUCUGGAUUGUGUACUGAUCGAUCUGUUCUUCUUCGCGAAGACCGCGUGUGCCCUUAACUGGGUGUGCACGGGAUUCACGACGUUUACUUUGAAAAAAUUAGAGUGUUCAAAGCAGGCAUUCGCUUGAAUAUCUCAGCAUGGAAUAAUAGAAUAGGACUUUGGUCUUAUUUUGUUGGUUCCCGAGACCGAAGUAAUGAUUAAUAGGGACAGUUGGGGGCAUUCGUAUUUCAUUGUCAGAGGUGAAAUUCUUGGAUUUAUGAAAGACGGACUUCUGCGAAAGCAUUUGCCAAGGAUGUUUUCAUUA
RNAcentral lists this ribosomal RNA (388 nucleotides) under Ctenophora sp. (in: diatoms). Its description in RNAcentral is "Ctenophora sp. (in: Bacillariophyta) partial small subunit ribosomal RNA". It matches the Rfam family "Eukaryotic small subunit ribosomal RNA", at positions 582 to 975 of the family's 1831-position model. The record is from RNAcentral. Lineage: Eukaryota; Bacillariophyta; Fragilariophyceae; Fragilariales; Fragilariaceae.